This 405-nucleotide ribosomal RNA is filed under the name Mithrax pleuracanthus. RNAcentral's name for it is "partial 12S ribosomal RNA". Lineage: Eukaryota; Metazoa; Arthropoda; Malacostraca; Decapoda; Mithracidae. The record is from RNAcentral.
UUAAACUAGGAUUAGAUACCCUAUUAUACUAAGAUAAUAGGAAAAACUAGAAUAUUAAAAGAUAUAGUCUUUAAAUUCAAAGAAUUUGGCGGUAAUUUAGUCUUUCCAGAGGAACCUGUUUUUUAAUCGAUAAACCACGAAUAAUCUUACUUAUCUUUGUAAAUUUAAUAAGUUUGUAUACCGUCAUUAUCAGAUGAUAUUUAGAGAUGAUAUUAUUGGAUUUUAAAUAUUAAAAAAAAUUAGAUCAAGGUGCAGCUAAUAGAUAAGUUAAAAUGGGUUACAAUUAACUGGAUUUAAUAAUGAAUAAAGAUUUGAAAAAUCUUUGGAAGGAGGAUUUGGUUGUAAUUAAAAUUAGUAUGAUAAAAAGAUAUGAGCUCUAAAUUAUGUACAUAUCGCCCGUCGCUU